Molecule: long non-coding RNA, 5223 nt
Organism: Oncorhynchus keta (chum salmon)
Lineage: Eukaryota; Metazoa; Chordata; Actinopteri; Salmoniformes; Salmonidae
Exons: 4
Source: RefSeq, a predicted model, not a curated record
GUGCAUUGCCCUUUUGUUCGCAGUAGGCAAAUGCCCCACACUAUCGACAUCUCUUAUCUUUUGUAAAUAUGUCAUUGUAGUCGGCCUAUGCUAGGUCCAGUGUGUUUCAUGGCUGAGAUAGUGCAGCGACAGGCAGGCAGCUGCGAAUCACAUUUCACUUUAGCUGAACUUCUCAAAUCUAUUUGAGCUAUGGCAGAGGGAACACAGUGAGUCUGUCCGGUCUACUAAUAGUCCGGCCCCGCCGCGGAUGUGGCAAGCGAGGACAUGCUGGUAGCCUAUUCUUUAUGAUUAUUUCUUAAAGAGCCGGCGAACGCAACACAGCUCCGUUUGCUAUGGGUGCUUCUUUGACCGAAGUUUAUAUAGGCCUACUUUGCUACACUGUUACAAUGUAUCGACUUAGAGCAUGGAUCACUACGUAGCUUAGUCGUCUUUCUUAUUUUCUCACACUCGCAUCAUUGUUGCCGCUGUGCAGCGAGGACACGAUAGUUACGGGGGGAGACAGACGAAACACAGCGUGACUGUCGCUCAGGACUUGAACUUGAACUUCAUUUUGAAAUCGGCGUCCAUGUGUGAUCGACGUUAGUCUUCUUUUUUUUUCCCAUAAGCAAUAUUCAUUAUUCUGUGAUUCAGUGACAAACUACGAGGAGAAAUGAGGAAAAUACAGAUGUUUUGAAGACAAUAAACUAAACUGCUGGCUGUUCCACCUCGGACAUUGAAGAAGUGGACAUUUCAAAUCAACAGAAAGUAAAAGAAUUGAAGAAUGCAUGUUAUAGAUGUUGUUAUAACAGGAUAACUACAUUAUGGUUCUGGAUCUACUACCCUGGUGGAAAAUAAGGCCUGUCUGGAUUUCAACAUCCUGGAUUUCACAUCCAUAGUUGCUGUGUGCUGCUGACUGUCUACCCAUGUCCGAUUUGAGGUUGAUUGGAUCUGGGGGGCAAUGUAUAGAGACGGAACAGACCCCGGAUUAAAAGGUGAAAUUAUGUUUAAUUGAAAUAUUCCUGUUUCUUAAGCUUAUUAAGGUACAGUUUAUAUUGGUUUGGUAUUUGGUUUGCUUUUCAUUGUGUGAUUUUCAUUCAUUCAGUAAAAUCAAUGGCACUAUGUAGCUGUUUGGUUUAACCUGAAAUGAAAAGCAUCUCGCCUCAUUGUUCUGUAGCCUGCAGUUACACAAAGUUAGUCAAAUGUUUAUGGUGCAGUUGUUUGCUUUGAAUAAACCCUCGCACUCACCAGUGUAAGAGAAGAAAUCUCAGCUAGUGGACUGUGGUUACGGUAAUGUUAGUGAUCUGUACAGUACAGUAGAAGCGGCUCAUACUCUGAAGCUGCCAAAGAAAUCAGUGAAAGAGGAAAAGUAAAUCCAGUACCUCAAAGGUCAGAUGAAGAUGAAGAGACAGUUGGCUCCCUGAGAAGUGCAACCCACAGUGAGUUGGCACCCUGAACUACACAAAGUCCCUAUUGUCAGUGGGUGCACUGCAAACAGCACUCAAUAGACCUAUAAGGCCUACGGCUCCAGUCCUGGGGGAAAAGCACCACCUGUUGGCCGUUUGGUAAUAUACUGCAGAUUGACGAGGCAAGUUCGAGAAUCAUGCUUGUGUGAUGAGUAACCUUGCCUGAAACCUGUAGAGUUAUGCUCCCUUAGUGAAUGCCCAGCCUUUAGCUCAGUGGGGAUAACACAGUCUUUUGGCAAUCUGGAGACCCAGGUUCAAACCCGGCAAUUCAACAUUAGUGUCACAUGUUCAAAACAUUUCCACUAAAAUGGCCUGCCCUUUAGCACCCCGAAGAAUGAUGUCCGUAAUGGGAAGUUAAUGAUGUGACAUUAGAAAUAGUGCAAUAUUUUGUCCGCGAGUUUUGUGUGUGUCCUUACCCUCAGUGGAGUUGUGAAGUUCAGCCAUGGUUCAGCUCCUCUUCUCUACAAUGGAGAAUGAAUCUGCUCCAUUCAUAUAAAGCUAAAUGAAAGCCACUGACUGUGCGGGAGGUUUCACAAAGCUCGAGGCAGAGCCAGGGUAUUGAAGUGUGACACCUAUAGUUUCACUUCCACAUGUUAUUAUAACCCUGUUAGUAUAAUAUAAUACUCACUUUCCUGGACACAGACCAAGCCUACUACUGAACUAAAAAGCAUUCUCAAUGGGAGAAUGUGUCCAGGAAACCGAACCAAUAUAACCAAAUACAAAAUACAUAUUAUAAUCUAUUAGUAUAAUAGUACAAUCCUAUUCGUUUAAUAUGGUCUCAUCCAUCCAGGUUGGAAUAGAAGGAGUAGCACUGAACUGACAGUGGAUUGCUACGGAGGGAUACAAUGUGACUGUGCCAAAAAAUGUUAGAAACAGUGGUAGAGUCUAUUUACUUCAAUUGCCAUGGGGUUGUGUGUGUCCUAACAUUAGAUUGGCUAAAGAGGGCAUCUCUGGACACUGGCUGAAUGUGACAAUGUGAUUUCUCUUCUCAGUCAAAGCACUGUUGUCAGUUAAAUUGAUAACAUAUACACUGAGUGUACAAAACAAUAAGAACACCUUCCUAAUAUUGAGUUGAGUUGCACCCCCACCGACCCCUCUUGCCCUUCGAACAGCCUCAAUUUGUCGGACAUGGACUCUACAAGGUGUCGGAAGCGUUCCACAGGGAUGCUGGCCCAUGUUGACUCCAAUGCUUCCCACAGUUGUCAAGUGUGCUGGAUGUCCUUUAAGUGGUGCACCAUUCUUGAUACACACGGGAAACUGUUGAGCGUGAAAAACCUAGCAGCGUUGCAGUUCUUGACACAAACUGGUGCACAUGGCACCUACUACCAUACUCCGUUCAAAGACACUUAAAUCUUUUGUCUUGCCCAUUCACCUUCUGAAUGGCACAUAUACACAAUCCAUGUCUCAAUUGUCUCAAGGCUUAAAAAUCUUUAUUUAAACUGUCUCCUCCCCUUCAUCUACACUGAUUGAAGUGGAUUUAACAGGUGACAUCAAUAAGGGAUCGUAGCUUUCAACUGGAUUCACCUCUCAGUCUGUCAUUUAAAGGUGUUCUUAAUGUUUUGUAUACUCAGUGUACAUUGAUACAGACUGUUUUAAGAUACAUUGACCCAAAUAAUUCAACUACACGCAACAAUGUUUCACCCCACUCCUGUGUAAAAUGGGCCACGGUUUACUUGACAAAGAGGCAUGGAUCCGUGCAAUGGGAAUUGUUUCAGCAACACAUCAGUCACUUAUUCAAGUGAUUCCGUUUUGAUUUAAAUAACCUAUUCUCAGUGACUGAUGGACAGGGAGUACUGGAUUUCUGUGGCAUUUAUGUGAUCCCUAUCCUCCUAUCAGCCAAAAGCUGAUGUGAGAGAAUGUGUGUGUGUGUGUGUGUGUGUGUGUGUGUGUGUGUGUGUGUGUGUGUGUGUGUGUGUGUGUGUGUGUGUGUGUGUGUGUGUGUGUGUGUGUGUGUGUGUGUGUGUGUGUGUGUGUGUGUGUGUGUGUAAUUCGCGACUGUGCAUCAAUCUCACUCCUCCUGAGGCCUGUGACUCACCUUUGUGGUUGUGACUCCCCCGUCUCCCCCUUUCUGAGGUAAACCACAGUGCUGCCCACAGCCUAUGUCACAGAGAAAACUCCCAGCGUUAACCACAACCUUUCACCUCUCGUCUCACCCCCUCCACAACCCCAACACUAAACCAUCACCAGAUUUAAAACCUCCCUACUUGAGUCACUUGAUAGUCUCCUAAUAGUAACUCUUUACACUCUCUUUGGAUAAUUCAUUCCAAUCGUUUAAAAGUUAACAGCAGGUAUUUGUCAGUGUCACCUUUAUAAACCUUUAUAAUAUAGACAAACUCUUGAUUUGAGUCUUGGCUGUAACACACUUGCUUUUCGGCUUCACAGUGAAAUCAACAACAUAGAAAAAACAGAGAUCCUAAUGGCUCUAAUAUGUAAUUAUAUGUAAUCCUAUGAUUGAAAACAUCAACGACAUUUAAUGUUAACUGUGAGGCUUGAGUAACUUAGUUGUGUGGAACAGAUAUAUCCGACCCUGGUCUGGUCUGCCUGGCUAAACUAUAAUCAAGGGUACUUAAUAAUGUAGCAAGGCAACAACACAGCAGGUUUAAGCCGAGCUGUCCACUCAAGUAGCUCUCGCUAACACACUCUCCUCUUUUGAGUCUCACAGAUGGUGUGAACCUGAGAUGAGUCAAGGAGGAACAGGAGGCAAAAUAUGAGAUCGGACAUGGACUCAUUGCAAGCUUCUACACCUGCAUUGCUUGCUGUUUGGGGUUUUAGGCUGGGUUUCUGUACAGCACUUUGUGACAUCACCUGAUGGAAGAAGGGCUUUAUAAAUAAAUGUGAUUGAUUGAUUGCAUGCAAUUCACCUUUUCAUGUCUGAGUUCUCACAUGAGGAUCACUUUAAGGACCACUCGGACUGUUCUUCAGAGACAAACCAACUGUCCUUUGGUGUGAGGUAGUAGGUUGUAUAGUUUUAGGGUCACACCCAAGCUGUCAGAUGACUAUACAACAUACUGUCUUUCCUGAAGUGGCUGUAAUAUCAUCACAGACUCUCCUCACAUGAAGAACCCUCGUCAAAAGCUGCAAUGAAAAUGUACCUUUCGUGCCUACGUUAUUACCAUUAUUACAAUAUUAUUACAUCAAUGUAUUAUUAUUCAUUUCAUAUUUGAACAGGAAAUGGGAUUUCACAUUUUCUGGUUGGACUCCAUCUCUAACCAACUGGUCAAACGGAUUGUGACCGGGUCGAUGGUUCAUGGUGUUCGCACAGAGUGAGGUAGUAGGUUGUGUGGUUUCAGGGUUGUUAUUUUGCCCCAUCAGGAGUUAACUGUACAACCUACUGCCUUCCCUGAAGGGCAGCAACACAACGCUACGAGCAUGGCCACAAUGGAGCUCACUGUCUACUGUGCUGCUUUUAAGUGGAGCGAGAAGUAAAGAAGGUAAGCUGUCUCAAAUCAUUGCCUUGGUACUUUUUUAUUUAUUUAACUUAACUAGGCAAGUCAGUUAAGAACAAAUUCUUGUUUUCAAUGACAGCCUAGGAACAGUGGGUUAACUGCCUUGGUCGGGGAUAGGACACCCGAUUUUCACCUGGUCAGCUCAGGGAUUUGAUCUUGCAACAUUUUGGUUACUAGACGAACGCUCUAACCACCGAGGCUACCUACCAAAAUGUGCUAAACAGAGUAUUUUAUGUAUUGCAAUUUGGAAAUAGACCUAUUGUUUAUAUAUCUUCAAUUUUGUAAUAAUCCAUACUGUACUAAAAGUCAUAAUAAAAAGUGAGUAGUCUUAGUCA